UACGGAAGGUCCGGGCGUUAUCCGGAUUUAUUGGGUUUAAAGGGAGCGCAGGCUGAUGCUUAAGCGUGACGUGAAAUGCCGCGGCUCAACCGUGGAAGUGCGUCGCGAACUGGGUAUCUUGAGUGAGUUCGACGUGUGCGGAAUUCGUGGUGUAGCGGUGAAAUGCUUAGAUAUCACGAAGAACCCCGAUUGCGAAGGCAGCUGACGAGUCCUCUACUGACGCUAAAGCUCGAAGGUGCGGGUAUCGAAC
RNAcentral lists this ribosomal RNA (250 nucleotides) under uncultured prokaryote. RNAcentral's name for it is "partial 16S ribosomal RNA". It matches the Rfam family "Bacterial small subunit ribosomal RNA", at positions 524 to 773 of the family's 1533-position model. The record is from RNAcentral.